UACGUAAGGUGCAAGCGUUAUCCGGAAUCAUUGGGCGUAAAGCGUUCGUAGGCGGUUUGUUAAGUUUGUGGUUAAAUCUGGUCGCUCAACGAUCAAAUCGCCGCAAAAACUAGCAAACUAGAGUAUGGCAGAGGCAACUGGAAUUCCACAUGUAGGGGUAAAAUCCGUAGAUAUGUGGAGGAACACCAAAAGCGAAGGCAGGUUGCUGGGCCAUUUCUGACGCUGAGGAACGAAAGCGUGGGGAGCAAACAGG
This 253-nucleotide ribosomal RNA is filed under the name uncultured bacterium. RNAcentral describes it as "partial 16S ribosomal RNA". It matches the Rfam family "Bacterial small subunit ribosomal RNA", at positions 524 to 776 of the family's 1533-position model. The record is from RNAcentral.